UGGGGAAUAUUGCACAAUGGGCGCAAGCCUGAUGCAGCCAUGCCGCGUGUAUGAAGAAGGUCUUCGGGUUGUAAAGCACUUUCAGCGGGGAGGAAGGCGAUAAGGUUAAUAACCUUGUCGAUUGACGUUACCCGCAGAAGAAGCACCGGCUAACUCCGUGCCAGCAGCCGCGGUAAUACGGAGGGUGCAAGCGUUAAUCGGAAUUACUGGGCGUAAAGCGCACGCAGGCGGUUGAUUGAGUCAGAUGUGAAAUCCCCGGGCUUAACCCGGGAAUUGCAUCUGAUACUGGUCAGCUAGAGUCUUGUAGAGGGGGGUAGAAUUCCAUGUGUAGCGGUGAAAUGCGUAGAGAUGUGGAGGAAUACCGGUGGCGAAGGCGGCCCCCUGGACAAAGACUGACGCUCAGGUGCGAAAGCGUGGGGAGCAAACAGG
Molecule: ribosomal RNA, 429 nt
Filed under: Chloroflexota bacterium
Lineage: Bacteria; Bacillati; Chloroflexota
Description: Chloroflexi bacterium partial 16S ribosomal RNA
Rfam family: Bacterial small subunit ribosomal RNA
Source: RNAcentral